GAUGAACGCUGGCGGCGUGCCUAAUACAUGCAAGUCGAGCGAACAGACGAGGAGCUUGCUCCUCUGACGUUAGCGGCGGACGGGUGAGUAACACGUGGAUAACCUACCUAUAAGACUGGGAUAACUUCGGGAAACCGGAGCUAAUACCGGAUAACAUGUUGAACCGCAUGGUUCAACAGUGAAAGACGGUCUUGCUGUCACUUAUAGAUGGAUCCGCGCCGCAUUAGCUAGUUGGUAAGGUAACGGCUUACCAAGGCAACGAUGCGGAGCCGACCUGAGAGGGUGAUCGGCCACACUGGAACUGAGACACGGUCCAGACUCCUACGGGAGGCAGCAGUAGGGAAUCUUCCGCAAUGGGCGAAAUCCUGACGGAGCAACGCCGCGUGAGUGAAGAAGGUCUUCGGAUCGUAAAACUCUGUUAUUAGGGAAGAACAAAUGUGUAAGUAACUAUGCACGUCUUGACGGUACCUAAUCAGAAAGCCACGGCUAACUACGUG
Molecule: ribosomal RNA, 497 nt
Filed under: uncultured bacterium
Lineage: Bacteria
Description: partial 16S ribosomal RNA
Rfam family: Bacterial small subunit ribosomal RNA
Source: RNAcentral